GAUCAUGGCUCAGGAUGAACGCUGGCGGCGUGCCUAACACAUGCAAGUCGAACGAGGCACCUUACUUGAUUCUUCGGAUGAAGGUCUGGUGACUGAGUGGCGGACGGGUGAGUAACGCGUGGGUAACUUGCCCUGUACAGGGGGAUAACAGCUGGAAACGGCUGCUAAUACCGCAUAAGCACACGAAGAGACAUCUCCUAGUGUGAAAAACUCCGGUGGUACAGGAUGGGCCCGCGU
RNAcentral lists this ribosomal RNA (237 nucleotides) under uncultured bacterium. RNAcentral describes it as "partial 16S ribosomal RNA". It matches the Rfam family "Bacterial small subunit ribosomal RNA", at positions 15 to 236 of the family's 1533-position model. The record is from RNAcentral.